AAUCAACGCUGGCGGCGUGCCUCAGACAUGCAAGUCGAACGAUUAAAGCUCUCUUCGGAGAGUGUAUAGAGUGGCGCACGGGUGAGUAACACGUAAGUAAUCUACCUUUGAGUGGGGAAUAACAGUCGGAAACGACUGCUAAUACCGCAUAAUGCAGCGGCACCGCGAGGUGACAGUUGUUAAAGGAGCAAUUCGCUUAAAGAGGAGCUUGCGGCAGAUUAGCUUGUUGGUAAGGUAACGGCUUACCAAAGGCUACGAUCUGUAUCCGGUCUUAGAGGACGGUCGGACACACUGACACUGAAUAACGGGUCAGACUCCUACGGGAGGCAGCAGUCGGGAAUUUUGGGCAA
This 350-nucleotide ribosomal RNA is filed under the name uncultured bacterium. RNAcentral's name for it is "bacterial SSU rRNA". It matches the Rfam family "Bacterial small subunit ribosomal RNA", at positions 32 to 371 of the family's 1533-position model. The record is from RNAcentral.